Molecule: non-coding RNA, 107 nt
Organism: Capsicum annuum
Lineage: Eukaryota; Viridiplantae; Streptophyta; Magnoliopsida; Solanales; Solanaceae
Source: Rfam
UGAUGACGGUAAGGGCAAUUUCUAAGCAUACUUUUAAAUCUCUCCCAAGCUUGGUAGAGAUUCUUUCUUUCUUUCUGUCUGAAACUCAGAAUCUCAUUUCUCAAAUG